RNAcentral lists this ribosomal RNA (447 nucleotides) under uncultured bacterium. RNAcentral describes it as "SSU rRNA". It matches the Rfam family "Bacterial small subunit ribosomal RNA", at positions 26 to 518 of the family's 1533-position model. The record is from RNAcentral.
AGAGCGAACGCUGGCGGCAGGCCUAACACAUGCAAGUCGAGCGCCCGUAGCAAUACGGGAGCGGCAGACGGGGUAGUAACACGUGGGAACGCGCCCUUCGGUUCGGAAUAACUCAGGGAAACUUGAGCUAAUACCGGAUACGCCCUUACGGGGAAAGAUUUAUUGCCGAAGGAACGGCCCGCGUCCGAUUAGCUAGUUGGUGAGGUAAUGGCUCACCAAGGCGACGAUCGGUAGCUGGUCUGAGAGGAUGAUCAGCCACACUGGGAUUGAGAACGGCCCAGACUCCUACGGGGGGCAGCAGUGAGGAAUUUUCGUCAAUGGGGGCAACCCUGAACGAGCAACGCCGCGUGCAGGAAGACACUUUUCGGAGCGUAAACUGCUUUUCUCGGGGACGAGUAAGGACGGUACCCGAGGAAUCAGCCCGGCUAACUACGUGCCAGCAGCCGC